GAUGAACGCUGGCGGCGUGCCUAAUACAUGCAAGUCGAGCGAACAGACGAGGAGCUUGCUCCUCUGACGUUAGCGGCGGACGGGGGAGUAACACGUGGAUAACCUACCUAUAAGACUGGGAUAACUUCGGGAAACCGGAGCUAAUACCGGAUAAUAUAUUGAACCGCAUGGUUCAAUAGUGAAAUACGGUUUUGCUGUCACUUAUAGAUGGAUCCGCGCCGCAUUAGCUAGUUGGUAAGGUAACGGCUUACCAAGGCAACGAUGCGUAGCCGACCUGAGAGGGUGAUCGGCCACACUGGAACUGAGACACGGUCCAGACUCCUACGGGAGGCAGCAGUAGGGAAUCUUCCGCAAUGGGCGAAAGCCUGACGGAGCAACGCCGCGUGAGUGAUGAAGGUCUUCGGAUCGUAAAACUCUGUUAUUAGGGAAGAACAAAUGUGUAAGUAACUAUGCACGUCUUGACGGUACCUAAUCAGAAAGCCACGGCUAACUACGUG
Molecule: ribosomal RNA, 497 nt
Filed under: uncultured bacterium
Lineage: Bacteria
Description: partial 16S ribosomal RNA
Rfam family: Bacterial small subunit ribosomal RNA
Source: RNAcentral